Molecule: ribosomal RNA, 421 nt
Filed under: uncultured bacterium
Lineage: Bacteria
Description: partial 16S ribosomal RNA
Rfam family: Bacterial small subunit ribosomal RNA
Source: RNAcentral
AUUUUGGACAAUGGGGGAAACCCUGAUCCAGCCAUCCCGCGUGUAUGAUGAAGGCCUUCGGGUUGUAAAGUACUUUUUGCAGAGAAGAAAAGGUAUCUCCUAAUACGAGAUACUGCUGACGGUAUCUGCAGAAUAAGCACCGGCUAACCACGUGCCAGCAGCCGCGGCAAUACGUAGGGUGCAAGCGUCAAUCGGAAUUACUAGGCGAAAGGAGUGUGUAGGCGGUUCGGAAAGGAAGAUGGGAAUACCCAGGGGUCAGCCUUGGAACUGCAUUUUUAACUGCCGGGCUAGAGUAUGUCAGAGGGGGGUAGGAUUCCACGUGGAGCAGUGAAAUGCGUAGAUAUGUGGAGGAAGACCGAUGGCGAAGGCAGGCCCCUGGGAUAAUACUGACGCUCAGACACGAAAGCGUGGGGAGGAAACA